This 484-nucleotide ribosomal RNA is filed under the name uncultured bacterium. RNAcentral describes it as "partial 16S ribosomal RNA". It matches the Rfam family "Bacterial small subunit ribosomal RNA", at positions 30 to 507 of the family's 1533-position model. The record is from RNAcentral.
AUUGAACGCUGGCGGCAGGCCUAACACAUGCAAGUCGAGCGGAUGAAGGGAGCUUGCUCCUGGAUUCAGCGGCGGACGGGUGAGUAAUGCCUAGGAAUCUGCCUGGUAGUGGGGGAUAACGUCCGGAAACGGGCGCUAAUACCGCAUACGUCCUGAGGGAGAAAGUGGGGGAUCUUCGGACCUCACGCUAUCAGAUGAGCCUAGGUCGGAUUAGCUAGUUGGUGGGGUAAAGGCCUACCAAGGCGACGAUCCGUAACUGGUCUGAGAGGAUGAUCAGUCACACGGGAACUGAGACACGGUCCAGACUCCUACGGGAGGCAGCAGUGGGGAAUAUUGGACCAUGGGCGAAAGCCUGAUCCAGGCAUGCCGCGUGUGUGAAGAAGGUCUUCGGAUUGUAAAGCACUUUAAGUUGGGAGGAAGGGCAGUAAGUUAAUACCUUGCUGUUUUGACGUUACCAACAGAAUAAGCACCGGCUAACUUCGUG